AUGGACCCGCGGUGCAUUCGGCUCUGGUGAGGUCCGGCUCAGCUGGUCUGAAUGGAUGACCGACCUGAUGGGGUGAUCGGCCGGCUGGGACUGAAACACGGGCCACACUGGGGAGGUUGCAGCAUGGGGGAAUCUUCGAUGUGGAAUGCCGCGUGACCGAGCAAGGCCUUCUGAGUGAAAAAUGCUUUCGGAUCGGAGGAAGGUGUUGUUAGAGAAGAACAAGGACGUUUGUAACUGAACGUCCCCUGACGGUAUCUAACCAGAAAGCCACGGCUAACUACGUGCCAGCAGCCGCGGUAAUACUAGGUUGGGCAAGCGUUUGUCCGGAUUUAUUGGGCGUAAAGCGAGACGCCAGGCCGGUUUCGUUAAGUCUGAUGUUGAAAGCCCCCCGGGCUUCAACCCCGGGGAGGGUGCAUUGGGAAACUGGGAGAAGCUUGAGUGCUGAUAAAAGAGGAGAGUGGAAUUCCAUGUGUAGCGGGUUGAAAUGCGUAGAUAUAUGGAGGAACACCCGUGGCGAAGGCGGCUCUCUGGUCUGUAACUGACGGCUGAGCUCGAAAGCGUGAGGAGCCAAACAGGAUUAGAUACCCUGGUAGUCCCACGCCGUAAACGAUGACUGCUAAGUGUUGGAGGGUUUCCGCCCUUCUGUGCUGCAGCAAACGCAUUAAGCACUCCGCCUGGGGAGUACGACCGCAAUGUUGAAACUCCAAGGAAUUGACGGGAGCCCGCACUAGCGGUGGAGCAUGUGGUAUAAUUCUAAGCAACGCUAAAAACCUUACCAGGUCUUGACAUCCCUUUGACCACUCUAGAGAUACAGCUAUCCCUUCGGGACUAAGUGACAGGGUGGUGCAUGGGUGAUCGUCAGCUCGUGUCGUCAAAUGUUGGGGUAAAGUCUCCGCACCGGGCGCAACCUUUUUUAGUAACCGUCAUUCAUUUGGCUGUGCAAUUCAAUGCACAGGUGCCGAACAGACCGGAAAAAGGGGGGGGAGACGUCAAAUUCUCCUGCCCCCUAUGAACUUGGGGUACCCCCCUGGUUCAAAGGGAACUACAAAGAGGAACUGGCCCGGGAGGGCCAACAAAAAUUCUAAAACUUCUUCCAGUUCGGGAUGCAGGUUGCAAAUUGCAUUCAUAAAGCUGGGAAUCGUAGUAAUCGGUGAUCAGCACGCCCCGGUGAAUUAGUUUCCCGG
This 1184-nucleotide ribosomal RNA is filed under the name Staphylococcus saprophyticus. Its description in RNAcentral is "bacterial SSU rRNA". It matches the Rfam family "Bacterial small subunit ribosomal RNA", at positions 225 to 1377 of the family's 1533-position model. Lineage: Bacteria; Bacillati; Bacillota; Bacilli; Caryophanales; Staphylococcaceae. The record is from RNAcentral.